This 509-nucleotide ribosomal RNA is filed under the name uncultured Glomeromycotina. RNAcentral's name for it is "partial small subunit ribosomal RNA". It matches the Rfam family "Eukaryotic small subunit ribosomal RNA", at positions 591 to 1092 of the family's 1831-position model. The record is from RNAcentral. Lineage: Eukaryota; Fungi; Glomeromycota.
CCAAUCGCGUAUAUUAAGGUUGCUGCGGUUAAAAAGCUCGUAGUUGAAUUUCGGGAUUGAUACAUUGGUCGUGCCUUAAGGGGUAUGAGCUGGUGUGGUCAAUUUCUUACCUUCUGGUGAAUUGUGAUGUCCUCCUUAAUUGGGUGUUUCAAUGAACUAGGACUUUUUACUUUGAAAAAAUUAGAGUGUUUAAAGCAGGCAUUAUUUGCUUGAAUACAUUAGCAUGGAAUAAUAAAAUAGGACAAUGAUUCUAUUUUGUUGGUUUCUAGGAUCACUGUAAUGAUUAAUAGGGAUAGUUGGGGGCAUUAGUAUUCAAUUGUCAGAGGUGAAAUUCUUGGAUCAAUUGAAGACUAACUACUGCGAAAGCAUUUGCCAAGGAUGUUUUCAUUAAUCAAGAACGAAAGUUAGGGGAUCGAAGACGAUUAGGUACGUCGUAGUCUUAACCAUAAACUAUGCCGACUAGGAAUCAGACAACGUUAAAUUUUUAAUGACUUGUUUGGCACCUUACG